RNAcentral lists this transfer RNA (74 nucleotides) under Pseudomonadota bacterium. RNAcentral's name for it is "tRNA-His". It matches the Rfam family "tRNA". From Rfam's summary of the family: Transfer RNA (tRNA) molecules are approximately 80 nucleotides in length. Their secondary structure includes four short double-helical elements and three loops (D, anti-codon, and T loops). RNAcentral also lists the same sequence under 1 other name. Lineage: Bacteria; Pseudomonadati; Pseudomonadota. The record is from RNAcentral.
GUGAGUGUAGCUCAAUUGGUUAGAGCACCUGACUGUGGCUCAGGUGGUUGGGGGUUCAACUCCCCUCACUCACC